AACUAAUGCACAGGGGAUGCUUCUGCCUGCAGAUAUUGAUGGACUCCUAAGCCAGGCUCUCCUGCUUGGGGAACUGGGUCCGGCCGUGGAGCUGUGUCUGAAGGAGGAGCGCUUUGCUGAUGCCAUUAUCCUGGCCCAGGCUGGGGGUACAGAUCUGCUGAAGCAAACACAGGAGCGCUACUUGGCCAAGAAGAAAACCAAAAUCUCCUCGCUUCUAGCCUGUGUUGUGCAAAAGAAUUGGAAGGAUGUGGUGUGUACCUGUAGCCUGAAGAACUGGAGAGAGGCACUGGCUUUGCUACUGACAUACUCAGGCACAGAGAAAUUUCCCGAGCUCUGUGGACCUGAUGGAGAAGGUGAUGGUUCUUAACAGGAGCUUGGAGCAACUGCGGGGUCCUCAUGGGGUGAGCCCAGGCCCUGCCACAACCUACAGGGUCACUCAGUAUGCCAACCUCCUGGCAGCCCAGGGCAGCCUGGCCACUGCCAUGAGCUUUCUACCCAGGGACUGUGCUCAG
This 512-nucleotide long non-coding RNA is filed under the name Homo sapiens (human). RNAcentral describes it as "non-protein coding lnc-NDUFB8-8:1". The record is from RNAcentral. Lineage: Eukaryota; Metazoa; Chordata; Mammalia; Primates; Hominidae.